Podarcis lilfordi (Lilford's wall lizard) is the source of this 1519-nucleotide non-coding RNA. The record is from the annotation of a GenBank genome assembly. NCBI's taxonomy places the organism in Eukaryota, Metazoa, Chordata, Lepidosauria, Squamata, Lacertidae.
GGGAGUUCCACAGGGCAGGUGCCACUACCGAGAAGGCCCUCUGCCUGGUUCCCUGUAGCUUUGCUUCUCGCAGUGAGGAAACCGCCAGAAGGCCCUUGGUGCUGGACCUCAGUGUCUGGGCAGAAUGAUGGGGAUGGAGACGUUCCUUCAGGUAUACUGGACCGAGGCCGUUUAGGGCUUUAAAGGUCAACACCAACACUUUGAAUUGUGCUUAUUAAAAAUAAGGUUUAGAGUGGCUCUUGUCAUCACUAUUUGUCUCUCUUCCUCAGAUUCCCUUCUGGAGAAAGUCAGCUCAGGCACAGGGACCCGCUCUACAUCUUCUGCAAUGAAGACAGAAGCAGAGAGUUAAUUCAGCUUCUUUACCAUCACACAAGCCCAAGAGAAGAGCCAAACAGCAGCUUCAAAAUGGCCCUGAAAGUCCCUUCUCCAGGCAAUGGAGAAGGGACUUUCCAGUUCAUUUUGAAGCUUUUCUCUCUCCCUCUCUCUCUCUCUCUCUCUCUCUCUCUCUCUCUCUUUUUGUCUUCUUUCGUACAUGUCUCACUCUUAGGUUUCUCUAGCAAUGAGCUUCCCAGUUCAUUUAAAAACACCCCCACCCCUUCCUGUAGAGAAGUGUUUCUAGCAGAAACAAUUGAGAAAUCUGGGUGUAGAAAUAGCAUUCAACAUAUGUUGAAAAAUAUUCUUAGCGUUUUUACGUGUUCCUGGCUGAGCCCGGGUGAACCUAUAUAACUCCUCCCUCCUCCAUCUCUGUAUCUGAAAUGUACCUUUGAGCGGAGUCAGUUAGGAUGCACAUAUACACAGACCUGCAUUCAUAUACAUAUCACUAUGUAUUAUUAUAUAGAGUGAGGAACUAUGCACAUUGCUAAGAACAUGUGGGAGAGCCAGUGUGGUGUAGUGGUUAGGAGCAAUGGACUCAUAAUCUGGUGAACCGGGUUUGCGUCUCCACUCCUCCACAUGCAGCUGCGGGGUGACCUUGGGCUAGUUCUCUGAAGUCUCUCAGCCUCACUCACCUCACACGAGUGUUUGUUGUGGGGGAGGAAGGGAAAGGAGAUUGUUAGCCGCUUUGAGACUCCUUAGGGUGGUGAUAAAAUGGGAUAUCAAAUCCAAACUCUUCUUCUUCAACAACAACAACAUUUGGAACUUUGGGUGCCAAGGGAGUGAAAGGUGUGCUAAAGGAGGAGAAUGAGAUUGCAGAGCAGUUGAAUGAAUUAUUGGCCUCUGACUUCACAACAGAAGAUUUAGGGCAGACCCCACAGCAACGUUUGCAGGAAGAGAGUCUGAGGGACUCACUGGUGAUGAGAGAUGAAGUUCUAGGCUUAAUCUCCUGGUCAGAAGGGCACCUGGGUUCUCAAAGAAUUCAACUGUGAAACUGAUGAUCUGCUAUUAAAAAUAUGGAAUUUGUCCUUCAGAUCAGUCUCCAUACCUGAGGACUGGGAAGCAGCUCAUGUAACACCAUCUUUUUAAAAAGGAUCCUGGAAAUUACAGGCUAGUUAGAUUAAGGUCUGUCUUGGGGAAACUGGUG